RNAcentral lists this ribosomal RNA (87 nucleotides) under Planctomycetia bacterium. Its description in RNAcentral is "partial 16S ribosomal RNA". It matches the Rfam family "Bacterial small subunit ribosomal RNA", at positions 1447 to 1533 of the family's 1533-position model. Lineage: Bacteria; Pseudomonadati; Planctomycetota; Planctomycetia. The record is from RNAcentral.
GCGUCAGCGUCAAAGGCGAAACUUCUGAUUGGGACUAAGUCGUAACAAGGUAACCGUAGGGGAACCUGCGGUUGGAUCACCUCCUUU